GACGAACGCUGGCGGCGUGCCUAAUACAUGCAAGUAGAACGCUGAAGUAGGAGCUUGCUUCUCUGGAUGAGUUGCGAACGGGUGAGUAACGCGUAGGUAACCUGCCUGGUAGCGGGGGAUAACUAUUGGAAACGAUAGCUAAUACCGCAUAAGAGUAGAUGUUGCAUGACAUUUGCUUAAAAGGUGCAAUUGCAUCACUACCAGAUGGACCUGCGUUGUAUUAGCUAGUUGGUGGGGUAACGGCUCACCAAGGCGACGAUACAUAGCCGACCUGAGAGGGUGAUCGGCCACACUGGGACUGAGACACGGCCCAGACUCCUACGGGAGGCAGCAGUAGGGAAUCUUCGGCAAUGGACGGAAGUCUGACCGAGCAACGCCGCGUGAGUGAAGAAGGUUUUCGGAUCGUAAAGCUCUGUUGUAAGAGAAGAACGAGUGUGAGAGUGGAAAGUUCACACUGUGACGGUAUCUUACCAGAAAGGGACGGCUAACUACGUG
This 495-nucleotide ribosomal RNA is filed under the name uncultured bacterium. RNAcentral describes it as "partial 16S ribosomal RNA". It matches the Rfam family "Bacterial small subunit ribosomal RNA", at positions 28 to 507 of the family's 1533-position model. The record is from RNAcentral.